CCUACGUGGGGCAGCAGUGAGGAAUAUUGGUCAAUGGGCGCGAGCCUGAACCAGCCAAGUAGCGUGAAGGAUGACUGCCCUACGGGUUGUAAACUUCUUUUAUAAAGGAAUAAAGUGAGGCACGUGUGCCUUUUUGUAUGUACUUUAUGAAUAAGGAUCGGCUAACUCCGUGCCAGCAGCCGCGGUAAUACGGAGGAUCCGAGCUUUAUCCGGAUUUAUUGGGUUUAAAGGGAGCGUAGAUGGGUUGUUAAGUCAGUUGUGAAAGUUUGCGGCUCAACCGUAAAAUUGCAAUUGAUACUGGCAGUCUUGAGUACAGUUGAGGUAGGCGGAAUUCGUGGUGUAGCGGUGAAAUGCUUAGAUAUAACGAAGAACUCCGAUUGCGAAGGCAGCUUACUAAACUGCCACUGACAUUGAUGCUCGAAAGUGUGGGUAUCAAACAGGAUUAGAUACCCGUGUAGUC
Molecule: ribosomal RNA, 460 nt
Filed under: uncultured bacterium
Lineage: Bacteria
Description: partial 16S ribosomal RNA
Rfam family: Bacterial small subunit ribosomal RNA
Source: RNAcentral